Molecule: non-coding RNA, 1338 nt
Organism: Equus caballus (horse)
Lineage: Eukaryota; Metazoa; Chordata; Mammalia; Perissodactyla; Equidae
Source: RefSeq, a predicted model, not a curated record
CCCGCCCCCGCCCCAGCUGGGCUCCUUCUCAUGCAAAGCAGAGGGGCCGCGGGGGUGGGGGUGGUUGGCGGGGACCAACGGGGCGACAGCUGGACCCGGCUGCCUGUCCUGCCUGAACUCAAGGCCCGUCGCCUCCUUUCAGGACCCCCAGAAAAGCGCGGUGAGGCCGUGAAAGGAGGCGCUUGGGGCGCCGGGCUGCAGGAAUGCCAGCGGGUCCCUGAAGGAAGAGCAGGGAGCGAGCCGGUGCGUCCUGGACCCUGCGGGACCCGGAGACCACGCAAACUCCGCAGAGACACGGUGAGGACGCGGCAGGUUCAACGCAGGAAACUUUUGGCCCGGGUCCCUCGGAUCUGAUCGGAGCUCCCGCUCUAUCCUUCUUCCUCUCUCGUUCGUUCCUGCCUCAGGCUGCCUUAAUCUCACUCCAUCACUCUCUACUGGAAAUGACCUACUUGUGUACUGCACUUUACAGUUUAUAUCACUAUCUUCCCUGAAUCGCGUAGUAAGAGGGGGGAUCGAUAUUACUUCCUUUUUCCUGGAGGAAGAAACCCAAGUUAGGGGAUUUUCCCCGAGAUCCCUGGGUCAGUGUACUAUUGAAGAUGAGAAGUUUGGGGGGCUUGUCACCUUGCUCCAUUGUGUAUUUUGCCCUGGGCACGUUUUCCAAGUCAGGAGUUGGGGGGUGGGGAGGGACCGCGAGGCCGGGACGGGCGGCAUCCGGCCGGGCUUCACGGUGUGCGCUCGGUCUGAGUAAACAAUGUGGCUUCCCACGAGGGCUGGAGGGACCCUGGGCAUGGAAGGUGGGGGAGCGAGGUCGAGCGUGGCGAUCUCAGACGCAAGUCAGCGCCGCGCCUCGGAGCAAAGACAGGACGUGGAUAGUGCCGGAAGGGAGAGGGUGAGCUGGAGGGGGCAGGAGACAGACAGAAGCAAGCGUGCGGAGAGGGGCGGGAAAAGAGAAUAAGGGCCGAAAAACAGAGGGAAAAAGAGAAGGAAUGUGGAAAAGUACGCUGGGAUCAAAGGAGGAAAGAGGAGUUGGAGGAAAUGCGUGGAAGAGUAGAGGAAAAGGAACGGAAAAGAGACCCAGAAAGACACCCAGCGCCAAAAAAAAAAAAAAAAAAAAAAAAACGGCAACGGGGAAAGGCGCGGAGCCGAGGACCCUGCAGGCGCUGCUGGGCGUCCGGCGGGACUCCGGGGGUGCGUGUAUGUGACAGGCGCGUUCGUAGGCGGCAGGAAAGGAGGCGGCGUGUUAGGUGGGAGACUCAGCGCCCGUGGAAAAGCGUGUGAGCGGCUCUGGGCAGGAAUCCAACAAAUAAAUAAAACGUCUAAGACGGCGUGACAACAAUG